CGGCGGACGGGUGAGUAAUGUCUGGGAAACUGCCCGAUGGAGGGGGAUAACUACUGGAAACGGUAGCUAAUACCGCAUAACGUCGCAAGACCAAAGAGGGGGACCUUCGGGCCUCUUGCCAUCGGAUGUGCCCAGAUGGGAUUAGCUAGUAGGUGGGGUAAUGGCUCACCUAGGCGACGAUCCCUAGCUGGUCUGAGAGGAUGACCAGCCACACUGGAACUGAGACACGGUCCAG
RNAcentral lists this ribosomal RNA (235 nucleotides) under uncultured bacterium. RNAcentral's name for it is "partial 16S ribosomal RNA". It matches the Rfam family "Bacterial small subunit ribosomal RNA", at positions 96 to 334 of the family's 1533-position model. The record is from RNAcentral.